UACAGGGGGGGCAAGCGUUGUUCGGAAUUACUGGGCGUAAAGGGUUUGUAGGUGGCCACUUAAGUCAGACGUGAAAUCCCUCAGCUUAACUGGGGAACUGCGUCUGAUACUGAAUGGCUUGAGUGCAGGAGAGGAACGCGGAAUUCCAGGUGUAGCGGUGAAAUGCGUAGAUAUCUGGAGGAACACCGGUGGCGAAGGCGGCGUUCUGGACUGUAACUGACACUGAAAAACGAAAGCCAGGGGAGCAAACGGG
Molecule: ribosomal RNA, 253 nt
Filed under: uncultured prokaryote
Description: partial 16S ribosomal RNA
Rfam family: Bacterial small subunit ribosomal RNA
Source: RNAcentral